UUAGGUGCUUAUGAUUAUCUGCACAUGUUGGAAUAGAUUUUUUGAAAAUUACGUUUUUUUUUUUGCUAGCCUUCAAAAUGAAACAUAUUUAGGCUUAUGUGUAGGCUUUAAUAGAAUAAGAUUCUAAUGGGAAUAUUGAUGUUUCAGCUGUAGAAUAUGGAUAUAAAUAGUGAUUGGGUCAUUUUGCAGGAAACACUGUCCAUCCAUCCAUCCCAAUGGCACUACAGCCCAUGGAGGGCUUUAGCUGGCUUCAACACAUCCCUCCAUUCAGAUCUCUCCUUCGCCUUUUAUCUCUGUCACUAUCUGUGGGUCUUCAUACAAUUGAUAUAUCUCAUGAAUAGAGAUGUAAUUCUGCUGUGUCCCCGUGAGUUGGAAACCAGUAAGCAAGUCUUCUAAUAGAGGUCUGAUAGAGUCAUGUACAUCAAGCGAUCAGCACUAAAAGAUGUGGACCUGAUGUGGUGUCAAGCUGAUGAAGCUUUUGCUUUCUUCUUUUGGCUGUUCGUUUAACACAAGACAAAGCACAGACUGAUCGUCAUACCAUUUUAAGAUCCUGGGAUGUGAAAGACUUUGCACCGGACUGUCGUCAGUAUCUUUACCUCUUCCAUGCCGGCAAUAAAAUACAUCUGAAACUUGUUGAUCAUAUUGUGCGUAAAGAUGGGUUAGGUUAGAUGAGUUCAGCUUUGCCUUGUUAGCCAACAACUGUCUGUAUCCUGGACUGUCCACACUUGUAUUAUUGCUGGUACACUUUCAGCAGUGAGCCAUGACAGCAGACGUAUAGAAGGCAUGCUGGGAAUGAAAUUCAUCACAUACAGCUGCAAAAAAGUAUUUUCAUUGGUAAUUAUGUGGGCUGCACAAGCCUCAGCUGAUGCUCACCAAAGCUCUUGGAAAUCCUAUGCCGAACUGGGAGUCGAACACUUAGUGAGGUUGUGACUGAACGUCGCAUGAGGUUUGCGGGACAUGUUCUACGUCAAAAUGAAUUACGCACACCAAGAGUUGCGAUAACAUGGAAGCCAAAACAAGGAAAGCGCAAACACGGACGUCCUCGUAUUACCUGGCGACACACCUUCAUGGAGGACCUCAGAACAGUGGACACCAGGUGGGAGGAGGCUUCAGACAUUACCAGUGACAGAUCAUUAUGGAGACAGCUUGCCGCUCAAUGCGCCGAACGGCGCCGGAGGACCUAUGUCUAAAAUGUUGAGUCAGAUAUUGAAGCCAGAGCUUUGUAUCUAAGUCAAAGACCACUAGUAUUUGACAGUGUUUACAGAGGACAAGAUGUCCCAGCUCAGUCCAAAAUUCAUAAAGACUGUGUCUCAGCGAAGCAUAAGAGUUGGUCUUGGAUUCAAACAGUCAAUGAAUGUUUAGGCAUUCAUAGUGAAAAUACUGCUAACUAUCAUCAGCUCUACCAUGAUGUUUGCCACCUGGAAGAAGACAUGCUUUCAUUCUUGCUUUGGAUGGACAGUUCAACAGUCAGAGCUCAAGUCAAGACUCAAGAUCCUGAUGUCAUGUUAAAACAUUUCAGAUUAAUAAACAAUUGUUGGACUAUCAGGGCUAGUUAGAUCUUCUCACAGAGCGAAGUUGAGAUAUUCACCCAGUUCAUCACCGCCAAGAACUGCCAGAAUGGCAUUUGAAGGCUAGAGCUCUUGUCCAAUAUCAGCACAAACAUGUGUCAUUAGCAAAAGGGGACUUUGUCAAGAUUUUGGAAAAUUUUGAUGCUGAAAGAUGGAAGAUGGAAUAGAAAGUGAAGUCCCUGCUAUUGUGUUGGUCAUUCCUUCCUGCUUCCAACAGAUUGAUAAAUUAGGAGAACAAAUCAAGGUCAAUAGUUCUAUUGAUUGCUGCUGAUAAAUGGUCACAUUUAAUCCAGUUUUUAAGUGCUGCUAUUUCCCAGACACAGUCCAAAGAUUUAUGUUUUUCCUGCUGAAGAUGAUGAAUGAGGCAGCAGACAUCUUGAAAGGAGCUGAUUUCGAGUUCCUUCAACAGUCUUUUCAUUUUAUUUAGGAAGAAGCUCAUCAGUCACUUCAAACCAGGCAACUUCAAAACUACUUUGUCAACUAUCCAGAGAUUCAGGGGAAUGAAAUCUUAGACUAUUUAUAAUUAAGAUGUUCCUUCAGAGUUGAAAACAACUACAUUCUAGCUUGAACGUCCCACAAGAAGAUGUGGGGUGGCAGCAGGCAGGGGUCUAACCUAGGAUCAUGGAGACCACUAAACGAUAGUCCAGAGUGUAUAUGAUUGAUUGAGUAGACAAAGAAGGGAUGGAUUACUGGAGCUAAGAGAAGGCAUAAUUUAACAAUAGACUACUUUGGGAUAUGGAAUGAGAGAGGCUAUAGUGUUGAUUAUAUAAAUAUGUAGGUCUCAGCUGGGGCUGCACAGCCACGGAAAAUACUGCAUUCCUAACUUAUCUUGGGACUUAUUAUAAAGCUGCCAUUAUCCAAGGACAUAUGAUUCUCUGGAGGCUUACAUCACUGGAAAAAGUCUUUGGGCCCCUGAAGAUUACAGUACAUGUAAUGCUGCAAAAGGAGGAGGAUGCUGGGCCAGGCACAUACAACUCAAUUUACUUCUAUUGGCUGGAAAUAUUUAAAGCAUGACAGUGGCGUAGGUAAAUUACCAAAUAGUGGAUCUUAUGUUGGAUUGAUCAGCCCUGAUGAACUGACCUGACCAUUGUAAUUGAAACCAUAACUCAUGACCACUCUAUCUGUAUAGGUCCUGGUAUACCCUGGGAUGAUGUUCACCCACAACUUUUAACUUGAAAUCUUAAAGGAAGUUUUGCUAAACUAACAAGCAUGAAUGUCUGGUACAGUAAGAUAGGGUUAAUGGUCAACCUGACAUUAUGGUUCAUUCAUUGGGACAGCUAAUGUUUGUGUCUGAUCAAGCAGUUCUCAAGUUAGGGCUUGAUGAAGUCUACAAACUGACCAUUAUAUCUACUGGACAAAAAAGGAUCUUAUAUGUAUAUUUUAAACCUGGUCAAUGCCUAUUUCUCCACUAUUGUCGACAUCUUGAGAUUUAGCACGGCGUGACAUCACCAUCGGCAGAAACCGAAGACGGCUGAUACAUUUGUGUGGGUGAAAAACUGAAGGCGUCGCUCAAAGACAGCUGAUACAUUUGUGUGGGUGAAAAACUCAAGGCUUCGCUCGAAGACAGCUGAUACAUUUGUGUGGGUGUAAAAUUCAAGGCGUCGCCUGAAGACAGAUGAUACAUCGUUUCCACGUGAGCGCUCGUCACCAACUUUUGACACGCUCUUGCAUUGUCGAGGUUUCACCUUACAUUGCUAUACAGAAGGUCCUCCAUUUAGACCUCUGUUCACUUAUGGUCAUUCUAAUUUUUCAGAGACUUUACAUAUUUGGAUUAUCUAAGCUGAAGUUCUCCACUUAAGUACUGUUGGAUUAUUUAUACGAAUGUUCAAGUACUUUUGGAUUAUUGAUCUUUGACGUUGAAGUUGGACUAACUUGUACCUAUUGGCGCUCUCCUAGUCAUCGUUGUACGCCGAAGAAAUAACACAUGCCUGCAUUACUACACUUACAUUUUGGAUUAUCUGUUGGACUUGUGUUAAUUGUAAAGGUCAAGAGGAAAUAUUUUUUGACAUUACUUGAGCAUUUGAGCCAUCUUAUGGCAUAUGACUGGAUUAUUUUACUACUACUUUGAUGCUCACAUUGAUGU
Molecule: long non-coding RNA, 3651 nt
Organism: Biomphalaria glabrata
Lineage: Eukaryota; Metazoa; Mollusca; Gastropoda; Planorbidae
Exons: 23
Source: RefSeq, a predicted model, not a curated record